Molecule: ribosomal RNA, 429 nt
Filed under: Actinomycetes bacterium
Lineage: Bacteria; Bacillati; Actinomycetota; Actinomycetes
Description: Actinobacteria bacterium partial 16S ribosomal RNA
Rfam family: Bacterial small subunit ribosomal RNA
Source: RNAcentral
UAGGGAAUCUUCCGCAAUGGGCGAAAGCCUGACGGAGCAACGCCGCGUGAGUGAUGAAGGUCUUCGGAUCGUAAAACUCUGUUAUUAGGGAAGAACAAAUGUGUAAGUAACUAUGCACGUCUUGACGGUACCUAAUCAGAAAGCCACGGCUAACUACGUGCCAGCAGCCGCGGUAAUACGUAGGUGGCAAGCGUUAUCCGGAAUUAUUGGGCGUAAAGCGCGCGUAGGCGGUUUUUUAAGUCUGAUGUGAAAGCCCACGGCUCAACCGUGGAGGGUCAUUGGAAACUGGAAAACUUGAGUGCAGAAGAGGAAAGUGGAAUUCCAUGUGUAGCGGUGAAAUGCGCAGAGAUAUGGAGGAACACCAGCGGCGAAGGUGACUUUCUGGUCUGUAACUGACGCUGAUGUGCGAAAGCGUGGGGAUCAAACAGG